This is a long non-coding RNA of Passer domesticus (house sparrow), 1536 nucleotides long. RefSeq lists it as uncharacterized. NCBI's taxonomy places the organism in Eukaryota, Metazoa, Chordata, Aves, Passeriformes, Passeridae. The transcript has 3 exons. The record is from RefSeq and is a predicted model, not a curated record.
UGAGUUUUGUACAAUGUGGUCAGCAUAUCAAAAGGAAAUACUUUUUUCUGUCUGUUUUGAUUUUGAUGUCAUUCCAUCAAACAUUUAGCUGGUAGACACAGCAUUAGCUCCAAACUCAUUUUGAAGCAAUGAACAUUAGUCAGACAUAAACAAUUGGGCUGGGGGCAGAUUAGAUGAGUGCCAAAUUGUGGGAGAGAUUUUAAAAAAGGGACUUUGCAAACUGUGUCCCUGCAUGAACAGAAUUGUUGCAGAGCAGGAAACAGACCUUGAAGUGGUCUCUGGUGGAAGGAGCAGGGCUUUGUAGCACAAGGGAGUUGACCUACAUAGCAGCCUUGAGCCAGGUAUGCAGGAGCUUGGGAAAGGGAGGUCAGGUUGGGACUGAUGCAGGUCUGGCAUCAGAGUGAGCUGGGCAGAGGGUGGUGGACUUUGACAGUGUGGUACAGCUGAGUGGUGGCUUGAUCCAAAAUCCUCCAGCCUGCUCUCCUGGGGGAGCAGCAGGGUAAUGUUCUGGUGGCUUAGAGGCAAUUUAUGAGGUUAAACUGGAGGUUAGGAGGUGAAUUUGGCAACCAUGAAAAUGGGUCAAACUGCUAAUAUGUACAUAUACAGAAACAGUGCAGGCAGACAGCAAGCUUGAAAAACAGACUUGCAGUGACCAGACCUCGGACACCAUAAAAUAAGGAAUAACCUUUGUGACGUCUCAGUCCUUGCCCUGCAGAGUAUUUCAGGCCAGAGUGGCAGGUGGGACUUACUCAAGGUCUUAUCUUGAGUCAGAGCACAGCUGAAGGUUCAUUCCCAGGUUCAUGGUCUCACUGCUGGAACAGGCUGCCAGGAAUUACUGGCAAUAUGUUUGGUUUUAAUCUUUGCACUGUUCUCCAGUGAAGUUCUCCAGGCUGAAGUGCCUGGAAUUUAUCUCCAAAAUAUUUUGGAGGGGAAAUGUGAUCAUAAAGCUAAAGCUUUGGGCUAUGCAUGCUUCUUUUCAGGCUCCUAACAGGUUUGAGAGGGGUUCCAGGGCAGCUCUACAGCUGUGCUGUCCCCAGGGAAGGAAGGGUCCUCCUGCUGUGCUGGCUGCUGGUGACCUGGCAGGGAACAUGGAGCUGCUGGCUGUCACAGCACCACAGGAAGCACGGAAGGAUGCAACAGCACCACAAGCCGAGGUGGAAGCAGCAGAAGAAGCAGCUGCAAUGCCAGAGGCAGAAAGCAUAGUGGGGAAGGUGGUCACUCCUGAAGGAGCAGCAGCAACUGUGGUGGGAGCAUCGGAAAACCCAGCGGCAGAAAGAGUGGCUGAAGCAUUUGCCAGGGCAGCAGAAAGAAUUGCAGUAGCAGAAGUAGCCAAGGUGUUGCAGUCAGCAAUAGCUGAGCUCAAAGGGAAGAGGAACAACACGUGGAUAAAGCCAAGGAACACCACUCAGCAGGAAGAGGAUUGGAUGAAGGAGGGAGAGGUGAAAUGAACUGGAGAGGUGAAGUUCUGGGUCAUACCUCCUAAUGGCUUGUACCAUCACUUCUGGAAUGCAAUAGGGCUGCCAAUCACCUCUCUUU